This 251-nucleotide ribosomal RNA is filed under the name unidentified soil organism R6-61. RNAcentral's name for it is "partial 16S ribosomal RNA". It matches the Rfam family "Bacterial small subunit ribosomal RNA", at positions 1254 to 1501 of the family's 1533-position model. The record is from RNAcentral.
ACCGCGAGGUUGAGCGAAUCCCAUNAAACCAUUCUCAGUUCGGAUUGCAGNCUGCAACUCGCCUGCAUGAAGCUGGAAUCGCUAGUAAUCGCGGAUCAGCAUGCCGCGNUGAANACGUUUCCCGGGCCCUUGUACACACCNCCCGUCACACCACGAGAGUUUGUAACACCCGAAGUCGGUGGGGUAACCUUUUCGGAGCCANCCGCCUAAGGUGGGACAGAUGAUUGGGGUGAAGUCGUAACAAGGUAGCC